Non-coding RNA from Pantherophis guttatus, 1373 nucleotides. The record is from RefSeq and is a predicted model, not a curated record. Lineage: Eukaryota; Metazoa; Chordata; Lepidosauria; Squamata; Colubridae.
UUUGGAGGUUUGCAGAAGUGAUGACUGCAACUUGGCUUCAAGCAGCUUUGUUAAAGAUCGAGGAGUGCAACUAGCCUCAUAUGCCUUCUUCAGCCUGUGACAUCCAUCCCUUUCAGUAUGUCUGAGCUCAAAUAAUAUGGAAUCAUGGAAUAAAAGAAGAGACUGAAAAAUCAAGGCAAAGCUUCCAUUUCAGGCGCUGCCUCAGCAUCUACACAAUCUCCAAGAAGCACAAUCAUUGAGGAACAUGCUACUGUUCUUCUCCAGAUUAUACAAUAUAUUCAAGUGGAAAAUGUCACUGGGAAUAUUUAAUCCUCUCAAGGAAUCGAAAAACUACAAUAUUGACUUGCAAUAUAUAAAAGCGAUGGUGAAACCUAUCCACACAUCUUCCUAUUUCACCCAUUCAAAAGGAAAGUAUCUCUUUUCUCAUGAUUGGUUUCAUAAUUACUCAUGGCAGCGGAUAUAUUUUUGGUUUGGCCUCACUACCAGCUGGCCGUAAGCCUUUGCACAUUACUUUGUGUGGAUGGCGGGUUGAAAAAGGGCAGGGGAGGAUUAUUUAAAAACUCACUAGUGGACUCCUCUUUCAAAAUAGCCCAUUAAAUAUUAUUAUGAUUGGCUGCCAUUUCUUGGGCUGAAUGUCUUGACACACCCUUUGUCUCAUUGGGGAAUUUUUAACUUUUCUGUCCAAGAUUUCAAACUCUUGGAAAAAUAGAAAGGAAGAUAAUUUGGAGCCACUUUCUAAAAUCUAAAAGAACGAGUUAAAUAACUCUGGUGCCAAGUUUAAGAGGUAGCUAUACAGUUGUGUGGUCUUGCACAUAUGGAAGGUUUCAUGAGAAUUUUUCUUUCUAAACCAAUGGAGCCAAAACUCUAAUUAUAAAAAGUUUAGGGGGAAAAGAGGAAUAUAGCCUAACCCUAAUUCCAACCCUAAAAUCAGUACAGUCAGAAUCAGAUUACCUGUUUGCAUAAAUUCUUGGAUUUCAGCACAUGUUAAAAAUUUGUUGCAGAGAAAAUGACUGGAGAAGGGUCAUUUGGGCCUCCUUCUUGGAUGUUUUUAUGCAGACCUUCUUCCCAAGCAUUCAUUUUUACAGAGGGUGGAAGACAACUGAAAGAAGUGAAUUGUCUGAAGCCACUUCAAGAAUGAAGGCCUGAUGGGAUCCAGAUCAGCCUUGAGUAGGCCACAGGGGCCUGUCGAAAGAAAGAAAUUAUAGCCUUAAGCGUUCAAGAACAUGGAGUGUUGUGUAAUCAAGGAAACCUUUACAGCAAAAAAGAAGUGAAAAGAAGUAAGGCAAAGAGAUAAGAAAAAUAAAAUGAACCCACCUAAGACUGGCUUAUACCAAACCAUUCACUAUAUCUUUCCAUUUUUCCUUUCCUUUUUC